AGUGAACGCUGGCGGUAGGCCUAACACAUGCAAGUCGAACGGCAGCACAGAGGAGCUUGCUCCUUGGGUGGUGAGUGGCGGACGGGUGAGGAAUACAUCGGAAUCUACUCUGUCGUGGGGGAUAACGUAGGGAAACUUACGCUAAUACCGCAUACGACCUACGGGUGAAAGCAGGGGAUCUUCGGACCCUGCGCGAUUGAAUGAGCCGAUGUCGGAUUAGCUAGUUGGCGGGGUAAAGGCCCACCAAGGCGACGAUCCGUAGCUGGUCUGAGAGGAUGAUCAGCCACACUGGAACUGAGACACGGUCCAGACUCCUACGGGAGGCAGCAGUGGGGAAUAUUGGACAAUGGGCGCAAGCCUGAUCCAGCCAUACCGCGUGGGUGAAGAAGGCCUUCGGGUUGUAAAGCCCUUUUGUUGGGAAAGAAAUCCAUCUGGUUAAUACCCGGAUGGGAUGACGGUACCCAAAGAAUAAGCACCGGCUAACUUCGUGCCAGCCGCCGCCGUAA
Molecule: ribosomal RNA, 506 nt
Filed under: uncultured bacterium
Lineage: Bacteria
Description: partial 16S ribosomal RNA
Rfam family: Bacterial small subunit ribosomal RNA
Source: RNAcentral